RNAcentral lists this long non-coding RNA (1348 nucleotides) under Heterocephalus glaber (naked mole-rat). RNAcentral describes it as "lncRNA (ENSHGLG00100036740.1)". Lineage: Eukaryota; Metazoa; Chordata; Mammalia; Rodentia; Bathyergidae. The record is from RNAcentral.
GACUGACAGGAGGUGGCCCAGCCCGCAGUUCCGCCCUGCUCCCAGGCGUGAGACCUGGCUUCCCACACAAGGCACGUGUUUCUCAGAGCCCCAGGGUUGCUCAGGCCUAAUGGGGUGGCCAGGGCCGAAGGUCGGGGUGCGAGGCCAGGGCUGGCCCAGCCGGCAGAGGCAGCGGCAGCAAUCACAGAACUCACCCCAGCACGACACCCAGCUCCUUCACGUGGACGCGUGUGUCCCCCGUGAGAUACUCGGACAGCAUCUUACUUUUAAGAAAAGGAGAUUCCAGCCGCUCAGUCAGCAAAACUCAGCCUUCUUCUAGCAGAGAAUCUGCCAGCCAAUGUCGGACAGAAAAUGAGGUCGUGACGGUCCACAAAUGUCCCUCACCCAGCCUGGAGCAGACUUCCUACAGGAGCAACUCAGUGUAAUGCCCGAAUAAAGACUUAAGUGAAAAAGGUUGUCGGUUUCUAAAACCAGCAAUGCUGUUUGAUGAAAUUAAUUGUUAUUAUGUGACACACCAAGAAUAGCUGUUUACUGAGGGCUUACAAUGUUGCCCACUCUGCCACCAAAUGCUUCAGCGUGAAUUACCUAAUUUUCAAGGGCACGAAGGACAGAUUCUGUUCUUUCUCCUUAUCUGCACAGCUGAGAGGUCUGUAAGUGGUACUCCUUGGAAUAUGACUUGAAAGCAUGCACAACACCCACCAAUGCAUGCAUCCUGGCUGUUAAAGUAUCCCAUGUUGACAGGCGCUUUGGCUGUUUAAAAUUACCCAUAAUUUUCAGGGAGUUCCCACAAUACCCUUAUAUUAUCUUCAUUCUACAAACCAGAAGGCUGAGGCUCUGCUCCAGGUGCAGACACUGGGAUUACCCACCGUCACCCAAGUGGUUACUGCAAAGCAGCCUGAAGCCAGCCAGCUGCAGCGCCUUCCUGCCCUCCGCACUGCCACUGCCCCACGACAGGCACUGUCCAGAGUGCCUCCUUCAAGCCACGCCACUCCUCCCCACGUCCAAGGAGUGUGCAUCCCUUAGACCUGGCUGUAAGAGCCAGGAAGCUAACUACUCGUUGCCGAUGAAUAUAUUUCAUUAGUAUUCACUUCCUGCUUUGCUGUUAAGCAGCCCGUGUCCCUCUCGAGAGCAACUGGCCAGAGGUUCCGGUGCGGGUGCGGAGCUCUGCUCAGCAAGGGGCCCCAAGCGUGGGGCGAGAACAGGUCGGCGCCCCACUCGCUCGGGAGACCCUGGCCCUGCGCCCCGCUCCCUCUGGAAACCGCUCUCCCUUUCUUCCUGAACAGAUCGCCUGUUCCAGUCUCUCCACCCGCGCACGCGUCCAGCCCCUCCCACCCACACUCACGGAAAG